This 316-nucleotide long non-coding RNA is filed under the name Brassica napus (rape). RNAcentral describes it as "long non-coding RNA (BNAP_LNC015450)". The record is from RNAcentral. Lineage: Eukaryota; Viridiplantae; Streptophyta; Magnoliopsida; Brassicales; Brassicaceae.
AUUUAGCAUAUUGUUGGUACCAUUAUUCAUUUUUACCACCACUAAAAUAAUAUUUUUAAAAAUACCUUCUUCGUUAAGAGUUAAAUUUUUUUUAUACACUUGUUCUCUAUAGUAUAUAAUAAACAAUUAUUUUUUUAUGUUUUCAAAUUAUAUUUUUUAAAAUUCGAAUUUUUUUUUACAAAAAAAAAGUUUUCAAAUUUUCUUUUUGACAUUCGAAAAUUAUUUUUGAAACUAUUUUUUAAUAAAAUAAAAAAAAUUUAUUUAUAUAUUUAUUAAAAUUCUAAAUUCUACAUUACAAAAAUCCUAUCCACCCCCU